RNAcentral lists this small RNA (1830 nucleotides) under Pongo abelii (Sumatran orangutan). Its description in RNAcentral is "processed transcript". The record is from RNAcentral. Lineage: Eukaryota; Metazoa; Chordata; Mammalia; Primates; Hominidae.
UGAGAGAGGAGAUGCAUCGAAGGUUUGAGAAUGCUCCUGAUUCUGCCAAAACAAAAGCUCUGCAAACUGUUAUUGAGAUGAAGGAUUCAAAAAUUUCCUCUAUGGAGCGUGGGCUCCGAGACCUGGAAGAGGAAAUUCAGAUGCUGAAAUCGAAUGGGGCUUUGAGUACUGAGGAAAGGGAAGAAGAAAUGAAGCAGAUGGAAGUGUAUCGGAGCCAUUCUAAAUUUAUGAAAAAUAAGGUAGAACAACUGAAGGAGGAACUAAGUUCGAAAGAGGCUCAAUGGGAGGAGCUGAAAAAGAGAGCGGCUGGUCUUCAGGCUGAGGUCUUUGCCAUUGGCCAGGUGAAACAGGAGCUGUCCAGAAAGGACACAGAACUACUCGCCCUGCAGACAAAGCUAGAAACACUCACAAACCAGUUCUCAGAUAGUAAACAGCACAUUGAAGUGUUGAAGGAGUCCUUGACUGCUAAGGAGCAGAGGGCUGCCAUCCUGCAGACUGAGGUGGAUGCUCUCCGAUUGCGUUUGGAAGAGAAGGAAACCAUGUUGAAUAAAAAGACAAAACAAAUUCAGGAUAUGGCUGAAGAGAAGGGGACACAAGCUGGAGAGAUACAUGACCUCAAGGACAUGUUGGAUGUGAAGGAGCGGAAGGUUAAUGUUCUUCAGAAGAAGAUUGAAAAUCUUCAAGAGCAGCUUAGAGACAAGGAAAAGCAGAUGAGCAGCUUGAAAGAACGGGUCAAAUCCUUGCAGGCUGACACCACCAACACUGACACUGCCUUGACAACUUUGGAGGAGGCCCUUGCAGAGAAAGAGCGGACAAUUGAACGCUUAAAGGAGCAGAGGGACAGAGAUGAGCGAGAGAAGCAAGAGGAAAUUGAUAACUACAAAAAAGAUCUUAAAGACUUGAAGGAAAAAGUCAGCCUGUUGCAAGGCGAUCUUUCAGAGAAAGAGGCUUCACUUUUGGAUCUGAAAGAGCAUGCUUCUUCUCUGGCAUCCUCAGGACUGAAAAAGGACUCACGGCUUAAGACACUAGAGAUUGCUUUGGAGCAGAAGAAGGAGGAGUGUCUGAAAAUGGAAUCACAAUUGAAAAAGGCACAUGAGGCAGCAUUGGAAGCCAGAGCCAGUCCAGAGAUGAGUGACCGAAUACAGCACUUGGAGAGAGAGAUCACCAGGUACAAAGAUGAGUCUAGCAAGGCCCAGGCAGAAGUUGAUCGACUCUUAGAGAUCUUGAAGGAGGUGGAAAAUGAGAAGAAUGACAAAGAUAAGAAGAUAGCUGAGUUGGAAAGGCAAGUGAAAGACCAGAAUAAGAAGGUAGCAAAUCUGAAGCACAAGGAACAGGUGGAAAAAAAGAAGAGUGCACAAAUGUUAGAGGAGGCGCGACGACGGGAGGACAAUCUCAACGACAGCUCUCAGCAGCUACAGACAGGGUCUUGCUCUGUGACCCCGGCAGGAGUGCAGUGGUGUGAUCUCAGCUCACUGCAGCCUCCUUCUACCGGGUUCAAGUGAUUCUCAUGCCUCAGCCACCCAAGUAGCUGGGAUUCCAGGCACAUGCCACCAUGCCUGGCUAAUUUUGUGUGUAUGUUUAUUAGAGACGGGGUUUCACCAUGUUGGCCAGGCUGGUCCUAGCGUCAUGUGAUCUGCCUGCCUCGGCCUCCAGAAGUGCUGGGAUUACAGGCGUGAACCAGCACACCUGACCUUAUACUUCAUGUUUUGAAUAGUUUAUGUUUAAUCUUUAUCAGAUGCCAUUUUGAUAUUCAAAGGUCAAUUUUACUAGUUAUGUUAAUAAGCACAUAGUAAAUGUAUUUUAUUUGUGAAGAUUAACACUUAACCUGCA